CAGUUCUGCCAACGAUUUAUCUUCAGAAGACAAGCAGAUGAGGAGACAAAACCUACUGAUGUGGGUACCCAAGCAGGAACCCCCCUCUUGCACCGGCGACUCACGUGGGAAGAAGAAUUCACUGAGCUGAAAUGGAGUGAGAGCUAAGAUGCUCUCAGAAUAUUCUUAAAAUGACUGUGCUGCAAAGAAGCCCGGGUGAAUAGAAGAAAAUAGAAGGAAUGGUGGAUACAAGUGAAGGUUAAAAUGAGACCCCAUUUAUCGCACCAGCUGUUGGUGAUUUCAGCGCACCUUUCCAAGCCUCUUGAGAGUUCUGCUCUAACCACACUGCCCCCUAGUGUUCUCUCGCUUUGGUGCAACGUCCGUCUUGUACACUUCCUUCCACAGACCUGUAAUCAGCUAUUUCUUCAGGGAGCCUGUGAUUCCUUUUAGUGGAAAAUGUGCAGGUUUCUCAUACUUCCGGAGAAAUAGAAAGCACCAGAUGACAGCCACCACACACUUUUGUCCCCAUUGCAAUAGGAUGCUUCUAACAAUCGUAAAAUUAUGAAACACUGAAUUCCUUAAAAGUUGUCCAUUUGUGGAUUUAUCUGAUGGUAACUAUUAAAUAUUUAAAAGUAACUUUAAUGAAUCUACUUAUGAUGAUUGAGUAAUCUAUUCUCUGAAUUCCACCAAAAAACCAUUUUAUGACCACAGUCAUAACGAACAUAUUUCUAUAGUCCUAAGCUGGCAAGAUAAAUAGAGAACAGUUCAUAAUAUAAACAAUAUAUUUAUUUAUUCCUAAACUAAUAAGAUGACUAUCAAUCUGUAAGAGACUAUGAAAAUCAAUACCGUAUACUUGGUAUAGUUGGUGAGAAUUUCAGGAGC
This 861-nucleotide long non-coding RNA is filed under the name Homo sapiens (human). RNAcentral's name for it is "DLGAP1 antisense RNA 4". Lineage: Eukaryota; Metazoa; Chordata; Mammalia; Primates; Hominidae. The record is from RNAcentral.